CUGUACACAGGACCAAAAGUGCAGGCACAUCAUUUAUUGAUAAGACAAAAAGAAUGUAAUGAAAUUAUCAAUGUUCUUGAAUUAAUUAUGAACAUGAUUAAGAAAGCUAAAAUCUCAGGAGCCAGGACCUCAUUACCCAUUCAGUCUUAGGGAUUGCUUUCAUUCAGCAAGGCAAAAAGGAGUUGAGCGGCCACAAUCGCCUUCCUCUCAUUUAUUUGUGCUAGAAUUAAGGUUUAUUUGUUUUCUGUUUCCUUCGUCUUCAGAUUGUUUCUCUGUCUCCAUCCAUUUCACAAACCCCUUUCCUCCUGUAUCUCAGAAGGGAGCACCUCCAGGGCCUACAUUUCUGCAGCCCGCACACCUCCUUGAGUGUGUGUCUCUCAGUCUGCUGGAGCUUCUAAAUAUCUCUCAAGAUGGAGAUCAUGGUGGGUAUAGGUCAUUUGAGGACUUCACAGCGAGUUAAGCUUUUACGUCCGUACAGAAAUAUGAUAACGGGGAAAUCAUUUUUGACUCCCUUGCUUUGGUGAUACAGCCGCAGACUCAAUGACCUAACAUCCAUCCCAAAGACAAAGCGAAGACCCGAGCAACACUGUCUUCAAGGUAAGAGGAAGGAGACCCUCUGGACACUGGCACAUGGGAGAAGCCAUCCCCCCAAUUUAUAAUGAAUGAACGUCGGAGUAAAUCUCUUCAUUAACCAGAUAGAGCUUUCACUCCCAGGUGGAGAGCAUUAUAGACCACACGUGCUCAAAAUGAAGAAAACAAUUGAUAACAGCUGUGCCUGUCAAGCAUUCGGGAACGCCACAAAACCACCAAGGAGCCGACUCCAACACAAUCACACUAGGGUCUCUAUUCAAGCUGUCUUGGGCCACGCCACCAUCUCUUAUUCAGCUGGAUGGGAGGGUGAAGCUCUCAGAGGGACAAGGUUUGCUAGGAAAUGGCAACACUGAAGGAUGAAAUACUGCGGGUUAAUGUGACAGCGAUUAGUCAGAGGGAAAUCCAUCACCCACUGGCGGAACAGGCUGAAGCAGAAGAGGCCCAGGCGCUGUCCUGUUUCCAACCUGAGAAGAACGAUGCUGUCAACAUCACUUCAAUAUUAAAUGGAUAGAAUUAUCUUGUCGUUCAGUUACAGCCGCUGAAGAACUACCUAUUUGUACCUGCAAAAGGAAAGGAAUCUGCGAAUGGAGAAGCUGCAUUUAGAACAUGUUUGCAGAAUAUUUUGACCCAGUGUUUUCUCUGUUGGUGACUGGCAAUCUCCCAUCUUUGAUUUUGCUCCUAAGCAAGUGUAACAGUGGAAAUACUCGCUUGAGAAUAAGGCUAAAGUGUGUUCCAGUGUUGGCAGAUUGAAAGGCAGUGACCUACAGAUGCAAGAAAAUCCCACAUGUCACAAUAAAGAGACCGGAAAAUAUUUCCAAGUGCACAGAUAGACUGGGGGAAAGUCCUUCAGAUCAGGGAUGCAGGGUUUAACAUAGAAUACACAUGGAAAUCUGAAAGCUAAAAUGAAGGUACUAGGAUCACAAGAAGCUAAGGGGUAUGGUUCAUCAGAGAACCUUCCUUUGCAUCGGAUGACAGUCAACAGAUGCACUCUCGAACGGUCAAAGUGCAGAACACACUUAACGGCGGAGUGCUCAGCCCUAACUAACGUCUGCAUUAGAUCUCUUCACUCCGAGACUCUGAGAACACCACAGAGGAGCCGCCAUCAUGGUUUGAAGAGACAGAGACAGUGGAGGGCUUGUGUGAGAGAGUGUCUUCUGGGCAUGAAAGGGCUCUUACAUCUGAGCUUUCAAGAUAGGAUUGCCCGAGUAGGAUGUGCACCAGAUUCCUCAAAGAUCAAAGAUGGGAGGGACUCCUGAGCUACCACCCUCUCUGGAGUACUAUUGGUGGUUCAUGAAUGCUGGCGUGACUGGAAUCAUUUCUCUUUGGAAGCACGGUCAUUGAUAGGUUUUCCACACUGUCAUGGAUUGCCCCAUGUCUAUGUGCAGGAAUCUACCUUUGUUUUUCUGCUUUAAAUAUUCAGUUUUCCAUAUGAAUGUCUCUGGGUUUUGGUUCCUCCGUAAUUCUUUCACUAGAGUUUUUGUUGUGGAGGGUUUCACUGCUUCAGUUACACUCAUUUCUACCUAUUUUACUGGGAUGAAUUUUACUGCUACUGCUGUUGUUUUUGUCCUUCCCCUCCCCAGAAGUGGGGACAGAACCUAUGGCUUUGAGAAUGCCAGACAUGCGCUGUGCCACUGGGCUUCACUCCAGCCUAUUUAUUAUUUGAUCAGGGGCUAUGGUGAAUUUUUUUUAAUUGUUAGUGUGUUCGUGGUAUAUAAAAUGUUUCUAUUUGUUGCUUGUGUUUCCUAUGACUACUGAGUUUUUCUCUUCCAACACAUUUUAGUCAGUCUUCUCUGUAUAUAAAAUCUUCCCGCAAAAGAGGUUGAUCUGACACCCUCUUUUCUGAUCGAAAAUCUUAUUAUUAUUUUAUUCCUUUCUUCUGAUGAAUUUUCUUACAAAAUUUCCUUUUUCUGUUCCAAAUAAGAGGCAAAUGUAUGUGGACAUCUUUUUUUUUUUCAGAUCUCAGAGGAAACACCUUCAUCUUCUUUCACUUAGCACACAGAAGCAGUGGCUUUAUCAUAUCUAGACCUUUGUGUAGUGAGGUAUCUUCCUCCUACACUUAAUCUCUUCUGGCUUUUUUUUUCAUAAAAGCAUGUUUAACUUCAAUGAAUACUUUUACUGCACCCACUAAUGAAAUUACUUCGAUCCUCUCCUUUGCUGUUGUGAUAUAUUUUGACUUUCCAUUUGUGCGUGUUAAGCCAUCCUUGUAUCUCUGGAAUAAACUCUAUUUAACAAGGUACAUUAUCUUUUUUAUGUGUUCAUUAGUCCAUUUCCCACUUAAAGGAGGAAUGGCUUAUUUGUUCCUGUGGUUUCACAUCAUUGUUGGUCCAUUGCGUUUUGGUUUACAAAAUAGAAACAUCGUGAUUAAAAGGCAUGAGGGCAAAGCAGAGCGGCUCUCUCACCUCACAGUAUCCAAGAAGAGGACAGAGAUAGGAAAAGGGUGAGGGAACAAGAUGCUCCCUUGAAGGGCACAGCCCAGUGACCAACUUCUAACCAGACCCACUUCCUAGGAUUUCUGCCACCUCAUAACAGCACUAAGAAUUAAGGAUAUUUUUAAUAUAUAAGCCUUGGGGGAAUAUUCGAUAUCUAAGCAUUAAUCAUGUGCCUUUUGCCAGUAUCACAUUUAACCCUGAUGUUUCUUUGUUGAAUUUUAAUCUUUAUGGCUUGUCCAUUUAUGAAAGUGGACACCAAUAUCUCGAACUCUCGCUGGUUUUGAAUCUACUUUCCCUUUUUAUCUAACAACACUUUCUUUACAUAGUGUGUGUGUGUGUGUGUGUGUGUGUCUGUGUGUGUGUGUGAUAUGUGAAUUUUUUCCUGGAACAGUGCAACAGUGCAAGCAAGUACUUAUUCAUCGCAGAUAAGGCAUAGCUAUAGACCGAAGUGUGAUUCCACUGUAGACUGAUGUGGAAGACGAGUGAGUUUAUGGGCUUUCACACAGAACAUGGGUAAGCUCGAGCCAGGAACACCAAUAGAGAACCUCAGACAGUGUGUGUGCACAAUGACUUUCACAUAGGCACACCAUGCCGUUCCCUUUCCACUUAACUUUACACAGUCUGUACUCUCACACCAUCCAAGGACUACAAGCCACUGGAACAGAUGUCAGUGGUGAGGGACACAGUGGCUUAGACCACAGGUGACUAUCUAUUUGGCCUUCUCCACUCUUCCUUUUAAGAUAGUGUCAACAGGUGCAAUCAUGAAAGUGUCUUAGAGGUGACCACAGCUGCUUCUGAUGAGGACAGUAAUGGCGACUAUGCUCAGGGUCAGCUUUCUACUAUGGCUUGGAAUGGUUCUUUCUUUGUAUUCAGUUGCUCCCUCUCACUUUAUAGAGUGGUCUCCUUUAUCUUGUGUUAGUAGGUCUUAUUUGACACACAAAAUUAAUAUAAAUCAUGAUAAACACUAAAGCCUA
RNAcentral lists this small RNA (3994 nucleotides) under Rattus norvegicus (Norway rat). RNAcentral's name for it is "uncharacterized LOC102550758". Lineage: Eukaryota; Metazoa; Chordata; Mammalia; Rodentia; Muridae. The record is from RNAcentral.